AAUCAAUAUUCGUCCUGGAGUUUAGUGUAUCAUAAACGUGUCCCUAGUGGCACAGCAGCUUCCUGGCUCCUGUGUGCCCCGAUGGCCGCCCGCUCCACCCCGAUAUGCCCAUCUAAGGCCGUGGGAGGAGGAACAUCGGCCCUUGUGUCUGCUAGGGCUUCUCGUGGAGGUAAAACCCACUCAAACUGCCCACCGCCUUGUGGUAGAGUGGGGUGGCUCUCUCAUUCUUUCAGAGGUGCAUGAAUUCAACAAACAAUUCCCACGCUUCUGUGCCCAGACACAGGGCCAGGCUUCACCGACACGGCAUGGAACAGACGGCCACUUAAUGCACGGAGUCUCCAGUUCAGUGUGGAGAUGGAUGCUGAACAGAUGCCCAAACAGAGACCCGCCCACUGUCCAGCCUGUGCCUUGGCUGUCCCAGGUGGGCAGCACACCGAGGCCGGUGCAGCGUGGGUGACCCGGGCCACGGGUGCCCGUCGCAGGGGCUGCGGCAUGACAGGCGCAGGCACCACACCCUACGCUGCAGAGACACACAAAGCCUGGGAUCGAGUCCUGCUCGUCCUUCAUCAGGGUUACAUCCUGGAGCAAGUCUUAACAUCUUGGAGCCUCAGCUUUGUCACGGUCACCCGAUCCCUACUGGCACUGAAAUGAGACCCCGUUGUGCACAGAGAGGUGAGGGGACGUGCCCAGGGUGGCACUGCAGUGAUGUGGAGUGACCACUGCUGUCCCACUGCCUCCCAGGUGAUUUCAAACCCAGAGGCACGGGUGCCCCCUCCCCCGCCCAAAUCCUCGGCGGCCUCAAGGGUUGCUCUGUGUGCAGAGGGAGCGGUGUUGGGGAGGGUGGAGGGAGGCGGCCCGGACGUCCCCCGCAGCUGUACGGCUAGCUUGGCUUUCUAAACACAACAAGGCUGCACCUCCCCACUGAGCUACAAGCCCGCAGGUGGCUUCAUGAACAUGUGGUUUCUGGAUGUGACAUGAAAGUUAGCAUUUGCACGCUCUCUGUCUGGGUUCCCUGGGUUUGUUUUUCUUGCUCUUACGGUCCUGAAAUAUUCCCAUCGUGUUUAUGUUGAGGCAGGACAUGCAGAAGCCGGCCGCUGCUGUACCAGGGUCUGCUGGGCCCGGCCUCCACCACUCUUCCAGAAAGCACCAGACAAGCACGGAGCCACCGCAGGGCUGUCGGGCCUCAGGGCACCCACCCGCCACCUCGCUCUUGCAGGCACCACCUGCAUCACAGCCCCUCCUGGGGCGCCUCUGUCCAUUGGGGAUGUCUGUUUCUGGGGGGCCGCGUGUGAGUGACUUCUGAGCCAUGCUGCAGCUGGGGAGUGGAAUUAUUCCCACAUUGCAGAUGAGAAAACUGAGGCUUAGGAGUGACUUGUUUGCCCAGGGUCACACGGACGGUACCAGAUAAAGCGGGGUUGACAAUCAUCACCAUUUCUGUCCUGAUCUUCCUGUUUGCGCCCCCCCCCCCGCCAGUGAUGCCUCUGUUUCUCACUGAUGUCCCGGAGCUCCCAGAGCCUCCCCUGACAAGGCCCGCUGUGGCCCAUCUGGGCCUCCCUUUGGCUUGGAUUAUAUGCCACCUAAGCGCCCGUCUCCUGCUCUCCGGCACUGCUUUUGAACUGGCCACCUCUUGCUUGCCUGUCGGGAUGGUGGACGCCAGGAGGGCAGGAACCAGGGGACUGGCCCGGGACAGCCACGCAGCUGACCCGCAACCACGCUGUUGAAUGAUGACUUGGUUUAUUCCCCGAGGCUGGGUCUCACGUGUCUGGCCACAGGAGGCUGGAGCUCAACCCCCGCCCCCCGCCCCCAGGUCCUUGGCUGGCCAGCAUUUCAAAUGAUAUUGUUUCAUAUUAAAUUAUUUGAAAUU
Vicugna pacos (alpaca) is the source of this 1864-nucleotide non-coding RNA. The record is from RefSeq and is a predicted model, not a curated record. NCBI's taxonomy places the organism in Eukaryota, Metazoa, Chordata, Mammalia, Artiodactyla, Camelidae.